UUAACACAUGCAAGUCGAGGGGAAACGACAUCGAAAGCUUGCUUUUGAUGGGCGUCGACCGGCGCACGGGUGAGUAACGCGUAUCCAACCUGCCCACCACUUGGGGAUAACCUUGCGAAAGUAAGACUAAUACCCAAUGACGUCUCUAGAAGACAUCUGAAAGAGAUUAAAGAUUUAUCGGUGAUGGAUGGGGAUGGGUCUGAUUAGCUUGUUGGCGGGGUAGCGGCCCACCAAGGCAACGAUCAGUAGGGGUUCUGAGAGGAAGGUCCCCCACAUUGGAACUGAGACACGGUCCAAACUCCUACGGGAGGCAGCAGUGAGGAAUAUUGGUCAAUGGACGAGAGUCUGAACCAGCCAAGUAGCGUGCAGGAUGACGGCCCUAUGGGUUGUAAACUGCUUUUAUAAGGGAAUAAAGUGAGUCUCGUGAGACUUUUUGCAUGUACCUUAUGAAUAAGGACCGGCUAAUUCCGUGCCAGCAGCCGCGGUAAUACGGAAGGUCCGGGCGUUAUCCGGAUUUAUUGGGUUUAAAGGGAGCGUAGGCCGGAGAUUAAGCGUGUUGUGAAAUGUAGACGCUCAACGUCUGCACUGCAGCGCGAACUGGUUUCCUUGAGUACGCACAAAGUGGGCGGAAUUCGUGGUGUAGCGGUGAAAUGCUUAGAUAUCACGAAGAACUCCGAUUGCGAAGGCAGCUCACUGGAGCGCAACUGACGCUGAAGCUCGAAAGUGCGGGUAUCGAACAGGAUUAGAUACCCUGGUAGUCCGCACGGUAAACGAUGGACGCCCGCUGUUGGUCUGAAUAGGUCAGCGGCCAAGCGAAAGCAUUAAGCAUCCCACCUGGGGAGUACGCCGGCAACGGUGCAACUCAAAUGA
Molecule: ribosomal RNA, 870 nt
Filed under: uncultured Bacteroidota bacterium
Lineage: Bacteria; Pseudomonadati; Bacteroidota
Description: bacterial SSU rRNA
Rfam family: Bacterial small subunit ribosomal RNA
Source: RNAcentral